UGGGAUGUAGCUCAAGAGGUGAGAGCCACGGCCUUAUAAGCCGUAGGCCCUAGCAAGGUAAAUAUGGGUUCGAUUCCCAUCAUCCCGA
This 88-nucleotide transfer RNA is filed under the name Lachnospiraceae bacterium NE2001. It matches the Rfam family "tRNA". Rfam says of the family: Transfer RNA (tRNA) molecules are approximately 80 nucleotides in length. Their secondary structure includes four short double-helical elements and three loops (D, anti-codon, and T loops). The record is from Rfam by way of RNAcentral. Lineage: Bacteria; Bacillati; Bacillota; Clostridia; Lachnospirales; Lachnospiraceae.